RNAcentral lists this ribosomal RNA (338 nucleotides) under uncultured Pseudomonadota bacterium. RNAcentral describes it as "bacterial SSU rRNA". It matches the Rfam family "Bacterial small subunit ribosomal RNA", at positions 29 to 351 of the family's 1533-position model. The record is from RNAcentral. Lineage: Bacteria; Pseudomonadati; Pseudomonadota.
AACGAACGCUGGCGGCGUGCUUAACACAUGCAAGUCGAACGUGAAAGGGGGCUUCGGUCCCUGAGUAAAGUGGCGCACGGGUGAGUAACACGUGGAUAACCUGUCCUUAUGUCUGGAAUAAUACGCCGAAAGGUGUACUAAUACUGGAUAUUCUUGUUUUUCAUAAGGUAUGCAAGCAAAGGUGGCCUCUGACAUAAGCUACUGCAUAAGGAGGGGUCUGCGUACCAUUAGCUAGUAGGUGGGGUAAUGGCCUACCUAGGCGACGAUGGUUAGCGGGUCUGAGAGGAUGAUCCGCCACACUGGCACUGGAACACGGGCCAGACACCUACGGGUGGCAG